Molecule: ribosomal RNA, 253 nt
Filed under: uncultured bacterium
Lineage: Bacteria
Description: partial 16S ribosomal RNA
Rfam family: Bacterial small subunit ribosomal RNA
Source: RNAcentral
UACGGAGGGUGCGAGCGUUACCCGGAUUUACUGGGUGUAAAGGGCGUGUCGGCGGUCUCUCAAGUCCGAUGCUAAAGACCGAAGCUCAACUUCGGGGGUGCGUUGGAUACUGUGAGGCUAGACGGCCGGAGAGGGUAGCGGAAUUUCCGGAGUAGCGGUGAAAUGCGCAGAUACCGGAAGGAACGCCAAUAGCGAAGGCAGCUACCUGGACGAUUGGUGACGCUGAGGCGCGAAAGCGUGGGGAGCAAACCGG